UAGGGAAUCUUCGGCAAUGGACGAAAGUCUGACCGAGCAACGCCGCGUGAGUGAAGAAGGUUUUCGGAUCGUAAGACUCUGUUGGUAGAGAAGAACGUUGGUGAGAGUGGAAAGCUCAUCAAGUGACGGUAACUACCCAGAAAGGGACGGCUAACUACGUGCCAG
Molecule: ribosomal RNA, 165 nt
Filed under: uncultured bacterium
Lineage: Bacteria
Description: partial 16S rRNA
Rfam family: Bacterial small subunit ribosomal RNA
Source: RNAcentral